AAAUUAAAAAAUUUUUAAAGUUUAGUUUUACACAUUUAUAUCAUAGAAUUUACAUUAGCCAAAUAUAAAUAAAGGAGUGAAAGAGUCAAACAAAUACAUUAACUUUUUUAAAAUUUUUACUUCAAAGAUUUUUUUAAGGUAUGCAAAGAUAUAAUAAAAUAAUUCUUCUUAGAUAUCAACAUCUUGAAUAUGAAUUACAAACGAUUAUUUGCCAUAUCUUUGGUCAUGAUGAUAUUAUUAAAUGUUAUGAUUGAAGCUGAUAUAUACCCGCAUCCUGCAGAGCCUGAUGAUGAAGAAGGAAGGCCCGGAUUUGUUGAUAGAUUAUGCCAUGGUGUGAGAUGCCAUCUUUUCUGUCAUAGAUAUAGACGUAGAAACGGAUGCUUAUAUUGCGCUUGCUGGAGCCAAGACAAAAUUUUUUAAUAAAUUAUUUUAAUAUAAAAUUUACAUAUAAAAAAACAUGUUUAUAACCAAUUUUUUUUAUCAUUUUUAUAUCUAAUAUAUAUUACUUGAAAACAAUCUUAUAAGAGCAUUAAAAAGAAUUUAUUUGUGAAAUUCUGAAUUUAUUAUAAUAAAAAUCAUCGUAGCCCUUAAAUAAUAUGAGACAUUGCUAAAAUAUGAUCAUACAAUUUUAAAUAAACCUAAACAAAUACUUUUA
Gordionus sp. m RMFG-2023 is the source of this 655-nucleotide long non-coding RNA. RefSeq lists it as uncharacterized. The record is from RefSeq and is a predicted model, not a curated record. Lineage: Eukaryota; Metazoa; Nematomorpha; Gordioida; Chordodea; Parachordodidae. The transcript is spliced from 2 exons.